AGGACUAUAGUUAAUUAUAACAUUUGGUUUGCAUCUAAAAGGUAUUGAAUAUUUCAAUUAGUCUUA
Molecule: transfer RNA, 66 nt
Filed under: Caroperla siveci
Lineage: Eukaryota; Metazoa; Arthropoda; Insecta; Plecoptera; Perlidae
Description: tRNA-Ala
Rfam family: tRNA
About the family: Transfer RNA (tRNA) molecules are approximately 80 nucleotides in length. Their secondary structure includes four short double-helical elements and three loops (D, anti-codon, and T loops). Further hydrogen bonds mediate the characteristic L-shaped molecular structure. tRNAs have two regions of fundamental functional importance: the anti-codon, which is responsible for specific mRNA codon recognition, and the 3' end, to which the tRNAs corresponding amino acid is attached (by aminoacyl-tRNA synthetases). tRNAs cope with the degeneracy of the genetic code in two manners: having more than one tRNA (with a specific anti-codon) for a particular amino acid; and 'wobble' base-pairing, i.e. permitting non-standard base-pairing at the 3rd anti-codon position.
Source: RNAcentral